This 90-nucleotide transfer RNA is filed under the name Novosphingobium arvoryzae. RNAcentral's name for it is "tRNA-Cys". Lineage: Bacteria; Pseudomonadati; Pseudomonadota; Alphaproteobacteria; Sphingomonadales; Sphingomonadaceae. The record is from RNAcentral.
CGAGGUUGGUCAGGCCCGUCGAGACCGGCGAGAACAGUUCGCCGAUGUUCGGGGCGCGGACGGCGCGCUGAUAGUUGCCGCGAACCUUGA